Molecule: long non-coding RNA, 940 nt
Organism: Oreochromis aureus
Lineage: Eukaryota; Metazoa; Chordata; Actinopteri; Cichliformes; Cichlidae
Source: Ensembl
GUCAACAGGAUGUGAGGGAUGAAUACAAACUCGAAGCGACAGCAGAGCACAACAAAGUGAAAAGCAAUAGAACAAAAACACGUCUCUGAGAAAACCCGAGAAGCCUCUUUAAUGAAGCUGACGAUUCGAUGUCAAUAAUGAUGAGGUCCAAACACUUCAAAGUGGAGCUCCCCUUUGUCUGAAUGAAGCAGGCUCUGGAUGUGUUUCCUAACUUUAUCACUCAGCUCCCAAAGCGGUCACACCGCAGGGAUUUAAACUAUUUACCCACAAAUUACAGGAGCCAGGAUGUCCGCUGACUUAAAGGCCACAAAUGGAAAGAUUUACUCACUCGAGGCAAAACUCUUCCCCCUUCCCGUUGGCAGAAGGUGUCACCGCCGGAUAAUCACUCCAAACAGUUGUUUCUGGACGUAUGAGCUCCUUGGGCUACAGGAAGUCUUCACAUCCACGUCCAAUCGCAGGAGUGCCUUGACAAUUCUUGUCCUGCCUGCAAACAUCCAAUAACCUGAACCUCUAAAUGAAUUUCAUGCAGUGUCCAGUGUGUUAAAUGUGACCGUCGCAUGGCUGCAGACGUCAUCUCAGCAUCACACGCUGCUUUUUAACAGAAUUAUGAUAAACACUGAGUGACACGUGUCAUAGUUUAAGAGGAAUAAGCCUCUGAGCAUGCAUCAGGACAUGACAGGUGUUUUUUUAGGUUCAGUCUCAUAUUGACUCUUUCAUAUGGAAAAUCUUAUAAAGAAUGUGAGUCUAACCCUAAAUUAAUCACUGGAGACCUGGUGGAUGUUUUAAGCUAAGAGAGGAAAAAUGUAAUCCUAAUAAAAUGACUUGUGUUACUGUUCUGCACGUCCUUGUUGUGUAUUGGCAUCAUGCACUCUGAUCAUUUUUGCAAAGACUUUCUUUAAAUGUUGGUGGUUGAAUACUUUCAUCACUCACUCAUUCACAG